RNAcentral lists this transfer RNA (72 nucleotides) under Viannamyia furcata. RNAcentral's name for it is "tRNA-Cys". Lineage: Eukaryota; Metazoa; Arthropoda; Insecta; Diptera; Psychodidae. The record is from RNAcentral.
UAAUUAGGUCUUAUAUUCAUUAAAUGAUAUUAAAUUGCAAAUUUAAAGGAGUAAUUUUUUUUACUAAGACUU